GUCAAACUGGAAAUCAGCACAUGCCAGUUAACAUUCCUGUGGAGUUUCUUCCAGUUUGGGACACUUUGAUUUUUUUCGCAUUUGUGCUGUUUCCAUGGAAACGGCGGCCAUUUUUUACCAUUCCAUAGCAAGGUGCACAACUUCAGAUGGUGGUCCUCAUUAUAGUAGAGUUCCAUCAACAUUGGUCCAUUGGAUUCCGAGAACACC
RNAcentral lists this long non-coding RNA (207 nucleotides) under Mytilus galloprovincialis (Mediterranean mussel). Lineage: Eukaryota; Metazoa; Mollusca; Bivalvia; Mytilida; Mytilidae. The record is from RNAcentral.